GGGCUGGGGCUCAGUGGUAGAGCAGUUGCCAAGAACGUAUGAGAUGCUGGGUUCGAUUCUCAGCACCACG
This 70-nucleotide transfer RNA is filed under the name Marmota monax (woodchuck). RNAcentral describes it as "tRNA.Ser". The record is from RNAcentral. Lineage: Eukaryota; Metazoa; Chordata; Mammalia; Rodentia; Sciuridae.